CGAACUCCUGACCUUAGGUGAUCUGCCUGCCUCGGCUUCCCAAAGUGUUAGGAUUACAGGCGUCAGCCACUGUGCCUGGCCCAGAUGUCUCUAAUUCUAACAUGAGAUGUAUUGCAGGAUCAUAGCAGAGUGAGUUGCUGAUGUAUCCAGAAGGAAACGAGCAUGGAACACUCACGACAGCUGUCCUGAGAAGUGUGUGUGUGCUGUGCUUGAAUAUCUCACUGCUCAUUUAUACACAGGCUUUCUGGUGACUGAGUUAACAGUAUCUGUUUCAUAAAUAAUGUAGCCCUCUUUCUUUCUUUCUCUCUCUCUCUUUUUUUUUUUUUUUUUUUUUUUUUUUUUUUGAGACAGGGUCUUGCUCUGCUACCCAGGCUGGAGUGCAAUGGUGCAGUCUCAGCUCACUGCAACUUCACCAUGCCUGGCUAAUUUUUUCUUUUUUUUUUUUUUGAGACGGAGUUUCGCUGUUUUUGCCCAGGCUGGAGUGCAAUGGCACAAUCUCGGCUCACCACAAUCUUUGCCUUUUGGGUUCAAGGGAUUCUCCUGCCUCAGCCUCCCGAGUAGCUGGGAUUACAGGCAUGUGCCACCACACCCGGCUAAUGUUGUAGUUUUAGUAGAGACGGGGUUUCCCUAUGUUGGUUAGGCUGGUCUCAAACUCCUGACCUCAGGUGAUCUACCCGCCUCGGCCUCUCAAAGUGCUGGGAUCACAGGCGUGAGCCAUCACUCCUGGCCUAAUUUUUGUAUUUUUAGUAGAGAGAGGGUUUCACUCUGUUGGCCAGGCUGGUCUCGAAUUCCUGACCUCAAGUUAUCUGCCUGCCUUGGCCUCCCAAACUGUUGGAAUUACAGGCAUGAACCACCAUGCCUGGCCAGCUCUAUUUCUUUAAGCCUACAUGUUUUGCACUUGUUAAAAGUAUUUGAACAUACAAUUACUCAGCUUCCCUUGUUUACGCGUGAAUUUUGUAGAAUCUUAAAUAUUUUUUCCAAUCUAAGCUUUAUUUUAUCCCGUUUCUUCUAUAUUUGUAUAACUUUAGGCGGCUAUCUUCAUUGAAAGUUUUUUCUCAAAAGCCUUAAGAUAGAACGUAGUUCUUGGCAGCAAUUUGAAAGUUAUUUGAGGAGAAGGGGAGACUUACAAUGAUGAUUCAAAUGAAGGAAACUAAAAAGUAAUGAAGCAAGGCAGAGGAAAAAGCAGUACUCACUUGAGCACAUCCCAAAAGAAUAACAUUUCAAAUGUAACUAGAAAAAAGUAUGCUGAAGUUCGCAAUACAGAAAUAAUUAUUAAUAAGAUAGCUUUAAAGCCCUGCUCAGCUUUUGAAUGUUGGGAAUUGACCCAGAGGUGGCUGUAACCUAAGAUGGUUCCUUCAGUAAUGACCAUUUUUUCUUUUUCAAGAUGAUGAUUAUUCCCCACCUUCUAAGAGACAAAGACCAACGAGCCACCACAGCCACCAGUCCCAGAACCUGCCAAUGCUGGGGAACGGAAAAUGAGGGAGUUCAACUCUGGCCCUCACAAUCCAGUGGAGGAGACGAAACUCAUCUGCCUCUGUCCCUCUGGGCACGCCUCAUGCCAGGUGCAUCUGUGGACAGGGGCCAUGCCCCUGGGCUUCCAAAGUUGGAGAGAGCUGCCAGGCUCAGGUCUGAAGGCCAGAAUUCUACAGUAAGUCCUACUGAGUCAAGGUGGGAGCAGGGUCGGUAGCUUCCGAGGCUCUGCGGGAGAAUCCGUUUCCUGGCCGUAGAGGUGGCCUGCACUCCGCAGCUUGUGCUGCCCGUCUCGAAUGACUGGAGUUUCCUGCUUCUGUCACUACACCUCCCACCCUCUCCAUCACCUGCUCUGCUCUUACAAGGAUCCGAAGAAAUGGAAUCAUCGUAUCGCUGAUCUACGUAAACAAACUGAAGAAUUGUCUGAAAGAAAAUAUGACAUGAACUUAUGAAUUCAACAGGUGAAGAUUUACAACUUGAUAAAUCAACUUUGUCAGCUCGAGCUGUAAAAGCCAAAGGUCCGGUGAUGAUCCCAUACCCUUUUUUCCAGUCUCAUGUUGAAGAUUUUUAUGUAGAAGGCCUUCCCAAAGGAAUUUUUUUUUUUUUUUUUUUUUUGAGAUGGAGUUUUCACUCUUAUCGCCCAGGCUGGGGUGCAAUGGCGCAACCUUGCUGGUCACUGCAACCUCUGCCUCCUGGGUUCAAGAAAUUCUCCUGCCUUAGCCUCCCAAGUCACUGGGAUUACAGGUGCCCACCACCAUACCAGGCUAAUUUUUGUAUUUUUAGUGGAGAUGCGGUUUCACCAUGUUGGCCGGGCCAGUCUCGAACUCCUGACGUCAAGUGAUCUUCCCGCCUCGACUCCUGAUAUCAAGUGAUCUUCCCGCCUCGGCCUCCCAGAGUGCUGAGAUUACAGACGUGAACCCAUGCCUGGCCAGGAAUUUUGUUUUUUAGGAAGGCUUUCUACUAAUGGAAUUCCUGGCCUUGAGAGGAUGUUACUUUAGAAGGAAAGGAUUUUUUUGUUAUUAAAAGAGCCACCUAAGCUGAAGAUUCCCUUGAGAACAAGUACUGUCCCUAGUUUCCCAGUGCUGGAAUAUAGAAAAUGGAUGGACAACUGGACCUACCAUGAAAGACUUCUGAAUCCAGGAAGAGAAACUGACUGGGCAACAUGUUAUUCAGAUGGGGUCUUCUUAUGUUGCCCAGGUUGGUCUCAAAUUCCUAGGCUCAAGUGAUUCCGCCCACCUCUGCCUCCCAAAGUGCUGGGAUUACGGGCAUGAGCCAGUGCAUCUGGCCACCUUAUUUUCUAUUACUGGCUCAAUGUAAUGGCUCCAUCUCAGGAACAGCCAAUGAAAGAGAUGCACAGGACAAGGCUGAUCUCUAACUCUUGGCCUCAAGCAAUCCUUCCUCUUUGGCCUCCCAAAAUGUUGGGAUUACAGAUGGGAGCCCCCAUACCCACCAAUCACAAGGAUCUUUAUAAGAGAAUGAGGUAGGAGAGUCAGAAUUAGAGAAAGUGAUGUGGUAAUGGAAGAAGAGGUCAGAGAGGGAGAUUUGAAGAUGCUGCACUUCUGGCCUUGAAUAUGGAGUCACGAGGUAAGUCAAGGAAUGGGGGUGGCUUCUAGAAGCUGGAAAAGGCAAAGGAGCACAUUCUGUCUAGAGCCUCCCCCAGAAGGAAUGCAGCCUCUCUGACACCUUGACUUUAGCCUUAAUAGACCUAGUUGGGCUUCUGGCCCCCAGAACUGUAAGAUGGUAGAUUUGUGGUGUUUGAUGCCACUAAAUGUAGGGUACUUUGUUGUAGCAACAACAAAAAAUGAACACGAAGCUGGGACCUCAUGUUACAGUUGCUCACGCCUGUAAUCCCAGAACUUUAGGAGGC
This is a long non-coding RNA of Homo sapiens (human), 3337 nucleotides long. RefSeq lists it as uncharacterized. Lineage: Eukaryota; Metazoa; Chordata; Mammalia; Primates; Hominidae. The transcript is spliced from 10 exons. The record is from RefSeq and is a predicted model, not a curated record.